ACACGUAGGGGGCAAGCGUUGUCCGGAAUUACUGGGCGUAAAGGGUGCGUAGGCGGCUUUUUAAGUCGGGUGUGAAAUAUCAGGGCUCAACCAUGGAAGUGCACUCGAAACUGGAAAGCUUGAGGUCAAGUAAGGGAGACGGAAUUGCCAGUGUAGGGGUGAAAUCCGUAGAUAUUGGCAAGAACGCCAGUGGUGAAGACGGUCUCCUGUACUGAUACUGACGCUGAGGCACGAAAGCUAGGGGAGCGAACGGGAUUAGAAACCCCAGUAGUCC
RNAcentral lists this ribosomal RNA (274 nucleotides) under uncultured bacterium. Its description in RNAcentral is "partial 16S ribosomal RNA". It matches the Rfam family "Bacterial small subunit ribosomal RNA", at positions 523 to 796 of the family's 1533-position model. The record is from RNAcentral.